Molecule: ribosomal RNA, 439 nt
Filed under: uncultured bacterium
Lineage: Bacteria
Description: partial 16S ribosomal RNA
Rfam family: Bacterial small subunit ribosomal RNA
Source: RNAcentral
CUACGGGUGGCUGCCGUGGGGAAUAUUGCACAAUGGAGGAAACUCUGAUGCAGCAACGCCGCGUGGAGGAUGACACAUUUCGGAGCGUAAACUCCUUUUAUAUAGGAAGAAGAUGACGGUACUAUAUGAAUAAGCGCCGGCUAACUCCGUGCCAGCAGCCGCGGUAAUACGGAGGGCGCAAGCGUUACUCGGAAUCACUGGGCGUAAAGAGCGUGUAGGCGGAUUAAAAAGUCAGAAGUGAAAUCCUAUAGCUUAACUAUAGAACUGCUUCUGAAACUCUUAAUCUAGAAUAUGGGAGAGGUAGAUGGAAUUUCUGGUGUAGGGGUAAAAUCCGUAGAGAUCAGAAGGAAUACCGAUUGCGAAGGCGAUCUACUAGAACAUUAUUGACGCUGAGACGCGAAAGCGUGGGGAGCAAACAGGAUUAGAUACCCGCGUAGUC